Molecule: ribosomal RNA, 253 nt
Filed under: uncultured bacterium
Lineage: Bacteria
Description: partial 16S ribosomal RNA
Rfam family: Bacterial small subunit ribosomal RNA
Source: RNAcentral
UACGAAGGGGGCUAGCGUUGCUCGGAAUCACUGGGCGUAAAGGGUGCGUAGGCGGGUCGUUAAGUCGGGGGUGAAAUCCUGGAGCUCAACUCCAGAACUGCCUUUGAUACUGAAGAUCUUGAGGUCGGGAGAGGUGAGUGGAACUGCGAGUGUAGAGGUGAAAUUCGUAGAUAUUCGCAAGAACACCAGUGGCGAAGGCGGCUCACUGGCCCGAUACUGACGCUGAGGCGCGAAAGCGUGGGGAGCAAACAGG